GGUCACUGCUAUCGGUGUUCGUCUAAGCCAUGCGAGUCAUAUGUUCUUCGGAGCAUGGCGUACUGCUCAGUAACACGUGGAUAACCUGCCCUUGGGUCUGGCAUAACUCCGGGAAACUGGGGAUAAUACCGGAUAACGCAUAUCUGCUGGAAUUCUUUAUGCGUGAAAUGGAUUCGUCUGCCCAAGGAUGGGUCUGCGGCCUAUCAGGUAGUAGUGGGUGUAAUGUACCUACUAGCCGACGACGGGUACGGGUUGUGAGAGCAAGAGCCCGGAGAUGGAUUCUGAGACAUGAAUCCAGGCCCUACGGGGCGCAGCAGGCGCGAAAACUUUACAAUGCGGGAAACCGUGAUAAGGGGACACCGAGUGCCAGCAUUAUAUGUUGGCUGUCCGGGUGUGUAAAAUACACCUGUUAGCAAGGGCCGGGCAAGACCGGUGCCAGCCGCCGCGGUAACACCGGCGGCCCGAGUGGUGAUCGUGUUUAUUGGGUCUAAAGGGUCCGUAGCCGGUUUGGUCAGUCCUCCGGGAAAUCUGACGGCUUAACCGUUAGGCUUUCGGGGGAUACUGCCAGACUUGGAACCGGGAGAGGUAAGAGGUACUACAGGGGUAGGAGUGAAAUCUUGUAAUCCCUGUGGGACCACCUGUGGCGAAGGCGUCUUACCAGAACGGGUUCGACGGUGAGGGACGAAAGCUGGGGGCACGAACCGGAUUAGAUACCCGGGUAGUCCCAGCCGUAAACGAUGCUCGCUAGGUGUCAGGCAUGGCGCGACCGUGUCUGGUGCCGCAGGGAAGCCGUGAAGCGAGCCACCUGGGAAGUACGGCCGCAAGGCUGAAACUUAA
RNAcentral lists this ribosomal RNA (837 nucleotides) under uncultured archaeon. RNAcentral describes it as "bacterial SSU rRNA". It matches the Rfam family "Archaeal small subunit ribosomal RNA", at positions 21 to 859 of the family's 1478-position model. The record is from RNAcentral.